AACGAACGCUGGCGGCAUGCCUAACACAUGCAAGUCGAACGAGAUCUUCGGGUCUAGUGGCGCACGGGUGCGUAACGCGUGGGAAUCUGCCCUUUGGUUCGGAAUAACAGUUGGAAACGACUGCUAAUACCGGAUGAUGACGAAAGUCCAAAGAUUUAUCGCCAGAGGAUGAGCCCGCGUAGGAUUAGCUAGUUGGUGUGGUAAAGGCGCACCAAGGCGACGAUCCUUAGCUGGUCUGAGAGGAUGAUCAGCCACACUGGGACUGAGACACGGCCCAUACUCCUACGGGAGGCAGCAGUGGGGAAGAUUGGACAAUGGGCGAAAGCCUGAUCCAGCAAUGCCGCGUGAGUGAUGAAGGCCUUAGGGUUGUAAAGCUCUUUUACCCGGGAUGAUAAUGACAGUACCGGGAGAAUAAGCUCCGGCUAACUCCGUGCCAGCAGCCGCCGUAA
This 449-nucleotide ribosomal RNA is filed under the name uncultured bacterium. RNAcentral describes it as "partial 16S ribosomal RNA". It matches the Rfam family "Bacterial small subunit ribosomal RNA", at positions 29 to 523 of the family's 1533-position model. The record is from RNAcentral.